RNAcentral lists this ribosomal RNA (156 nucleotides) under Silene nutans. RNAcentral describes it as "5.8S ribosomal RNA". It matches the Rfam family "5.8S ribosomal RNA". Rfam says of the family: 5.8S ribosomal RNA (5.8S rRNA) is a component of the large subunit of the eukaryotic ribosome. It is transcribed by RNA polymerase I as part of the 45S precursor that also contains 18S and 28S rRNA. Lineage: Eukaryota; Viridiplantae; Streptophyta; Magnoliopsida; Caryophyllales; Caryophyllaceae. The record is from RNAcentral.
AAACGACUCUCGGCAACGGAUAUCUCGGCUCUCGCAUCGAUGAAGAACGUAGCGAAAUGCGAUACUUGGUGUGAAUUGCAGAAUCCCGUGAACCAUCGAGUUUUUGAACGCAAGUUGCGCCCGAAGCCUUCGGCUGAGGGCACGUCUGCCUGGGCG